CGGUUAAGUUAGAAAGGGCGCACGGUGGAUGCCUUGGCACUAGGAGCCGAUGAAGGACGGGACGAACACCGAUAUGCUUCGGGGAGCUGUAAGCAAGCUUUGAUCCGGAGAUUUCCGAAUGGGGAAACCCACCACUCGUAAUGGAGUGGUAUCCAUAUCUGAAUACAUAGGAUAUGAGAAGGCAGACCCGGGGAACUGAAACAUCUAAGUACCCGGAGGAA
RNAcentral lists this ribosomal RNA (221 nucleotides) under Bacillus velezensis. RNAcentral's name for it is "partial 23S ribosomal RNA". It matches the Rfam family "Bacterial large subunit ribosomal RNA", at positions 1 to 218 of the family's 2925-position model. Lineage: Bacteria; Bacillati; Bacillota; Bacilli; Caryophanales; Bacillaceae. The record is from RNAcentral.